This 328-nucleotide ribosomal RNA is filed under the name uncultured bacterium. RNAcentral describes it as "bacterial SSU rRNA". It matches the Rfam family "Bacterial small subunit ribosomal RNA", at positions 568 to 898 of the family's 1533-position model. The record is from RNAcentral.
AGCGCAGGCGGGUCGACAAGUCCUUGGUGAAAUCCUGAGGCUUAACCUCAGGACUGCCCAUGAUACUGUCGAUCUUGAGUGCAGAAGAGGAAGACGGAAUUCCUGGUGUAGCGGUGAAAUGCGUAGAUAUCAGGAAGAACACCGGUGGCGAAGGCGGUCUUCUGGUCUGUAACUGACGCUCAUGCUCGAAAGCGUGGGGAGCAAACAGGAUUAGAUACCCUGGUAGUCCACGCCCUAAACGAUGGAUACUCGAUGUCGGGUCGCAAGGCCCGGUGUCCAAGCCAACGCGUUAAGUAUCCCACCUGGGGAGUACGAUCGCAAGGUUGAA